GCCCGGCUAGCUCAUUCGGUAGAGUAUGAGACGCUCAAUCUCACGGUCGUGGUUUCGAAUCCCAUGUUGGGCA
Molecule: non-coding RNA, 73 nt
Organism: Hemiscyllium ocellatum (epaulette shark)
Lineage: Eukaryota; Metazoa; Chordata; Chondrichthyes; Orectolobiformes; Hemiscylliidae
Source: the annotation of a RefSeq genome assembly